Pseudopipra pipra is the source of this 995-nucleotide long non-coding RNA. RefSeq lists it as uncharacterized. The record is from RefSeq and is a predicted model, not a curated record. NCBI's taxonomy places the organism in Eukaryota, Metazoa, Chordata, Aves, Passeriformes, Pipridae. The transcript has 3 exons.
UGGUGAGCAGGACAAAGUGGAUCCUUCAGAGUUCCCAUCCGUGUUUGUGUCUCAGCCUGUGUUAGGAUUCAGGGCUGUAGCUGUUGUUGUCACUGAGGAGUCAAACUCUGCUUUAAAUAAUGAGACACUGGCCUGAUGGCCCAGUGUCAAGAAUAAAGGGGGAAUGAUAUCUGAGUGUUGAGAUGUAACAAGGGCUGAUCCUUUUUGCAGUGGGAUGUAGCCUGGAAAGUGCACAGAGCUGAGCCAAGGGAUUGAAAGGGACCAAGGAAGGGAGGUGAAGAAAGAAGGAAGAAGGGAAGUGAGGCAGCAGCCAAGCAGCAGCAAGUUGCUGUGUAAGCAGGCAGAAGAGCCCAGGCCUGAGCUGGCUGAGUGUUGGUGUGAGCCAGAGUGGGUGUCCCUGCCCUCGGGCCAGUCCCCAGAGCUGCCUUUGGCAUCCCCUGCUGAAGGGUGGGAGCUGCCCAGAGCCAGCAGCAUCCAGCUGGAGGAUCCAGGAGGAUGCAGCUCUGCUUUGCUGGGAGCUUGUCCAGGAGAUGGAAUUCCAGUGCUACAGUCUGGGUGGGUCAUGGUGCUCCCAAAAGGAGCCUCUGUGCCUUCAGGACAAGUUUUGGUGCCACUGGAGCUGCUGGGAGAAGCAUGGGGUUGGCAGUGAGAGGCCUGGAAUGAUGUUGCUGUGGCACAGAAGAAAUGAGCAGUGAUGGUACAAUUGGCUAUUUUGUCUUGAAUGUAAUGGUAAGAGCUGCAGGAGUGCCAGGUGUGUGUUCCAUUCCCCACCAUUUGGUUUGCACAUGUCCUGGUCAGACACAGGUCCAACUUCCUCAGUCCUUAACACAAUAGAGGGAGAAUUAAGGACUGGCAGUGUUAAGGUGAUUGGUGUGACAGGGGUUAAACUGGGAAAACAUUGGGGAAUUUCUCAGUUUUUCUGUUUGCCAAACUCACCCAAACCUGUGCUAGGAAGAGAUGGACUGGAAAAGUUGAGGCAGAAAUGAAAUGGAAAA